GUUCCACACUGUGCUUCUCUGCUGGCAAAGGGAAGGAUAGGAGAGAGCUUGAAUCUAUCAGCCUCUGGAGUGAGAACCCCUCGUGCAGGCUCGGGCAGGAGGGCAGCAGCUCUGCUGCUCAGAGGGGCCUCUGGGCAGACACAGACAUUUCCAGUCUCUUUGUGACUCCCAAGGGUCUCCCUUUUACUUCUGGAGAGUUGCACCCUUGAGUUACACUGCAUGGAGAGCUCUCAACCCACUUUUGACAGGUUUGGGCAAAGUGGAGGCGUGAAGCUCCUACAGACUAAACUGCAGAGACCAGAGGGAUCAGGGUAAUUUCAGGGCAACAGCCAUUGGAACACUUGUGCUUUUUCCCUUCUGGUUCUAAAUGUUCAAAUUCUCACAAAAAUAUGAGACGAACUCUCCGUGGAAUGACUGUGCUGCUGAAAACAUUUGGAAUUUCCUCUUUCAUCUGGUUCUUUCUUUAUUUUUUAAUUAUUUUGAAGGCUCUUUACAUGAGAGCAGAUUUACAUUCCUCUCUCCCUGCUGCUCACUUCCCACCUGAAAUCUUCGGCUGCUCUUUGCAGUUCCCAACACAAUGGUGAGCGAAAUCCUGAACAGAGCAUUCAAACUUGAGGUGAGGAAAAGCAACAGCAGCAGAUGGGCUUGUAAACAGCAGAGACCUGGCUCAGGCACAGAGGUCCUGGUGGAGUGGGAAGGAGCAGGAGGGUUGGCAAACACUGAGCAAUUUCCAUUUUCUGGGCUGAAAUGUGGGGAUCUGGGGAGGGGAGGGUGGUGUAGGAACAGCAGCUCUCUCCCAUUCUGGCACAGUCAGCUCUUCCCAGCAGAAGCUGUUCCUGUCAGAACUUGCAGCAAAUGGGAGAAGAUGGGAAAAUGGGGGACGUUUUCCAGCAUCAGGGAAUUUGUGGGUGAUGAAAACAAGAUUUCCAGCAGCCCUUUUGCACUAGUCUUGGUUUCUAAAGAGGUAUUCUGCUGUUUUCCUGCCAUUCUUCCCUUCCCUUGAAUUCCUUCUGAAACUCAGUCAGCAGAGUUGGGAGUAACUUCACUGAUACAAAAUUCGCAAAAGUUACCUGAAAGUUUGCAGCUGGACAGAGGAAGAAGAAACCCAGAGCAGAGAGUCCCCACCAGUGGAAGAAAAAAGCAGAAUGAGGAGGCUCAGUUCCAAAGUUUAUUGAGCCCAGAGGGAUUUCUACAAACCACAUGGCAUCAGGUGUCAAAGAAAUGAGGAAUGAAAACCAACGUGGAACAACGGAGCAGCGUAAAACUCCCACAGCCCAGCGAGGCUCCAGAAAUGUUGGAGAGGCUUAAAUGGCCCCUCAAGGUGAACGUGCUGGCCACGAGCAGCCUCUCCACCUUGAUCUGUCAUGAGAAAGUCCUGAGUCAUAUCAUGGGUGUUCUUUCCUUGGACAGGGAGACUCUGCACAUCCUGUGGAGUCCAGGAGUCACAGAAAACAGAAACUGAUGAAAGAUGGUUGCGGGCUGGGAUUUUGGAGAGGUUUGUGCUUGAUGUAGGGUUGAAGGGCUGUUGUUUCUGUUUUGCUUGGGGAUUGGGAGGGGAAAGGUUACUGAGUCCCUGAACCUUAAUGUAAAAUGAUUAGAAUCUGGAACAGAUUCCAAAACAGACAUUUAGGGACUACUAAAUGUACAAAGCAGCUUGGAUAUCUAUCACCAGAGUUCAUCCAGUCCUAGAAAAAGCCUCUGAAAUGGGCAGUGCUUUAACAAAGUACAGAUGUCUGGGGACUCAAAAUACAAGGAAAAAUUAUGAGGAGGAAGAGAUAACACUUUCUCCAUUUCUUAAAGAGGGAGAAAAUGCCAGAAAGUUAUUAAUUUUAUUCCCAGGACUGUGGUAGCUGGACAAGGAUCCAAGGUUAAGGUGAUCCCCAUGACCUGACACUUGCAGAACAAGUGGGCUCCCUGCAUCCUGGCACGAGGAGUUCUAGGGAGAUCUGUAAUCCCCAGUAAUAACCUCAGAGGUUAAUUGGCGUCUGGAAAUGAGUUUAUUAGGUAGGUGGGCUAGAGGAGGUUUAAUUACGUGUUUAGAUCAGUGUUGCUUCAAGCAUUAAUUUUGCCAGGGAAAGGAGGGUGUAAUGUCAGAAGCGACACUUUCACACUGCUUAGAUUGAGCCAGGGGGGACUGGAGAGAGCCCAUGGACUGCUGGGGAAGAUGGGAAUGAGCUCUGAGUAAAAGCAUCUCUGUUGUUUUGAGCCAAAAUUCCCUGGACUUCGUGUAAGGCCCAUUUUCCUGAGAAUGGCACUUGGCAGUUUUUGGACAGUCAGGCUGUCAGAAGGAAUCCCUCUGAAAUACACAUUGGAUUUCUUUUUUUGGGCCUUAUUUCUCUUUUCUGCUUUGUGUCAUAUUCUCCUCGCGGCUUUCCAGAGCAGAGUUACUCUUCCACUUGUUCCCUUUUGCCUCCUGCUGAGUCAAUUCCUUUCUUUUCCAACAUUAUUUGUACUGUAGUCACUCCCAGAAUCUGGGAAAUCAUCCUCACAAGUCUCCCCAUCUCCUGAGCUUACUGCCAACUCUCCCACUAAAGCUUUGAAUUCUUUGUUAUAAAGAAGAAUAAAAGGCCAGCAAAGUGCACCUCGACACCCAUUCAGGUGCCAUUACCCUGUAAUUCUUUAAAAACUCUGCAUUUAUAGUCACUGGGAAGUGCUGGACUGGGAAGCCUCUGGACUAAAUUGGUGUUAGCACAUGAAAGAGAACCAGUCCUGCAUGGGGCAGCAGGCUCUGGGCAGGUUUGGUCACCAGCUCGCUCGGUGGGCUCGGGACAAUCAUUCCCUGCCUGUGCCCCUGCUGGCAGUGCCCAGCUCCAGCUGUGCCCGUUUGGAUGAGGAGUUCCUAGGGACACGCCUGUCCCACACCCGUGGAGUUGCAGCAGAGCCUGAGGUGAGCAGGGAAUGCAAACAGGGAUGAGAGGAAUGCCCAGACAGCAGGGCAAGCUUCCCAGACAUGCUGUCCUGAGAGCACGGCUGGAACCCUGGGUGCUGCAAGCUGUCUCUGUUCCCAGGCCUUGGCUUCUCUCUGCCAGCCAGCAAAGUGUUCACCACUUCCAAAUACAGCGGUGAGGUGAACUGGCAGCUUCCCAGUUCCACUGGGAAAUGGGGGCAAAUCGCUAAACUCACUUUGUAAACUCAAUCAGAGCCUGAUUGGAUCCUCCAUCCUGCCUGGAGCUGUGCCACCUCCCUGCAGGUGCAAAGCUGCUUGCGUUUUGGAGCCAUCCCAUCCCAUCCCAUCCCAAACCAAACCAAACCAUCCCAUUCCACACCCUCCCACUCUGCCCAUGCUCUAGCCAGCUCCAAUUUGCCAGCAGAGAAAUCCAUUUUCUCCCCUCCUCCCUUGUUUGAGGAGCUGCAGACACAUCCCUUGGCUUUCCCUCUUCUCCGCAGGCUUUUCCAGAGCCCUUUCCUCCCAUUGUUUGUUCGUUCCCUGCACUCCAUCCCAUCUUUUGCCUCCCUCCCUGGUUUGAUACAGCAUCUUGCUGGUCCUGCCUCACACUCUGAGCAGGGGUAUUAGAUGGAUUCCCCAUAGAGUAUAAAUUGAAUGGAGAGAAGAAGUGGCUGGUUUCCCAGCAAUAAUUUAUCUGAUUAAAAAAAUACUCCCCAAACUCCCGCUCCUCCACUGGUCCUACGCCCCCUCCAAAAAGCACCAUUGGCAUCAGGGUUGGUGUUUGAACUGUGUGAUUCAAAUCGCUGGAAGAGUGAUUUAGAUGGGAAAAUAACUGGCAAAGGAUGGUUCUCGGGGGAUUUUUUCCCAGAGUGUUGGGGCUGAAAUUUGGAACCUGGGUUGUUGUGUGGAGAAGGCAGAGAGUAAAUAAUUCUGAGUCAAGUACCUGGGUGAUUUGUACCUUUACCCAUGUACCAAACAUGGAUGCACACGUGUGUGCUCUCACGCGUGUUUGCCCAUCACACGCAUUGCACGGGGGAGCCCAACUCAGGCACAGCAAGCUGCUCCUGCUGUUCCCUCUCUCCUCUCUUUUCUUCUCUUACCUCAGGGCUGAUUCCAAAUAAGAGAAGGAAUCUGCCUCACAAAAUGCAUGUUGCCUUGUUUGUUACUUGCAUGGGCUUCAAUCCUUCCAAACCAUUUUCUUCUCCAACAUUCCUGUUGUAAUUAUGGGAUGGAAAAGUCACCCCAAGGCCCCUCUCAGCAGGGGCCCGGGCAGUGGGUUUGGUUGGUGCCUGUUCCUGUGUGGGUGACAGGCAGGUAUUUGCAGGUAUUUACAUCCCAGACUGCUCCCAGAUCGCCGGGAUUUACAACAGGGGCUCCCUGGUGCUGUCAAGGGCAGCACUGCUACUGACACCCGAGUGUCUGCAAGCCAUUCCAGGGCCUGGCGUGCUCCCAGCUCCCCGGGCUGCUGGCUGCUGGACAUACCUCUGCUCACAGCUGCUUUCUGGCCACUGGGUGAAACGGGAACGGGCCCGGCUGGAGCUUUUCAGCCUCGGAGCACCCUCAAGCCAGUGGCCAGGGCUCAGGUUUCCUGCGUUUUGACAGGAGGGCUGCUCAGAUGAAACCUUUCUCUUCUCCUUCUGGAGGAUUUACACUGCCACAAGUCCUCAUUUUUUCCAGAUGUUUUACCUAAUAAAUCAAGGAGUCUCAUCAGAGGAUUGGGAUCCAAAAGCUGUUACCAUGACUUCAAAGGCAUGGGCUGGAGUGGAAAGAAGUGAUGCAGACAUUUUAUACCACUCUGUGUGCACUGAUCAUGAAUACACUCUGCUCCCAGGAUUUUUUUUCCUGUGGAUAUGAGAACUCCAACCAUGAUUAAAUAAAUUGGUGCUGUGCUCCUUCAGCCAACCUUUGCUGAAAAGAAUGGAGCUGCAGGAGACUCGGGCUGUAGGGCUGGCAGGAACCAGGCUGGGACUGGUCCUGAGAGGGGUUGAGCUCUGCCAACCCCUGUCCAAAAUCCAGGACCAUUAACUCAGGGCUGAACUCACUCCAUCUUUUCAGAUCAGUAGUCAACUGCAUAUUUUCUCCAAGUGCUGGUUUAAGCAAUUCCCACAUAAAGGAAUCAGAUGUUCAUCUUCUUCAGAUGUUGGGAGAGAAAAAGAUAAAAAGAGUUACAUGGCUGUAAAAUGUGAUUGUGACUAUUCAGACCAGUUUGUUCCUUGAUCAAGAAUGUAAGUUUUUUUUUUUUCUUUAAUGUAGUGAAGGCUUUCUUUUUACAGUGUCUACAUGGUGUCAUUUUCUUUUGCUGUUCCAUUUCUAAAGAUAACUGUGUUUGGAGAAGCUGUUACGUGUUUCUAUCACUCCAUAGCAUGGGGUGCUGCAGGAGAACAGAAUGAAGAAAAGCAGCUGAAGAAAGGAAACCUGAUCCUGUGGUGGGUGAGCAGCAGGCCCACAGGGUUGGCUUUUGGUUCCCCACUUCCCCAGAGCACUGGCCUGGCAUCAGAGAUGCCCAAGCUCCUCACCCUCUGCCUUGUCUUCCCUUGGAUCCUGUUGGAUUUGGAAUCACAGCAUAGUUUGGGUUGGGAGGGACCUUAAAGCUCAUCCAGUUCCACCCCCUGCCAUGGACAGGGACACCUGCCACUGUCCCAGGUUGCUCCAAGCCCCAUCCAACCUGGCCUUGGACACCUCCAGGGAUAGGCAGCCACAGCUUUGUCUCCCCUCUCUGCUCAGUGCUGAAGGGCUGAGGGCAUGGUGCCAGGCAGGAACAGGCUCCUGGGGGCAGGAGGCACAGGGUGGCCUGGUUGUGGGGAACCCCUUCAGCAUGGACUGAGGUGCCCAGGUCGAGUGCUCAGUUUCAGGAGAGUUUUUGGGCUUCCUCCUUCACAUGGCUGAAGCACACCCAUGGAGAGGGGACCCUCUCACAACCUCCUGGGGGUACCUGCAACAGGUGAUGUGAGCAGAGACCUUGUCUUGUGCUGCCUCAGAAUUCUGGGAUGUCAAUAAGUUGUCACUUAACAACAGUGGGAACUGCAACACUUGGAGCUGUGGGAAAAUCCUGUGCACCCCAAGUAGGCACUGUAGUCAUGUAAAACACACUUAGGAUAUGAAUUCACUCCAGAAGACUGUAUUUUGUGUUUUAUGUAUUUUGUGUUUCCCAGGCAGUGGGGAGCAAGAGGGCAUUUGGUUCUGCAAGAUGUUUAACCAGAUCUGAAAACCUCACCAUGGAAGUUUAGGAAGAGGCGAUGUCCCACUGCAGCCAGGUGGAAGGGAGUGCCAGGUGUAGAUCUCCUGUGUUCUAAUGACUUCAGAAAAAUUGCUGCUUGUCUUCCCUCCCCCACGAGGCUGAAUCCCAGCACCCCAGAUUGUCGUGACUGCCUGGGAUUGGUGACAUCUCCAGUGAAAUGUGUUGGAGCAUCAAAACAGAGUGGGAGAAGCACAGCCUGGCUCCGGGAGCCAAAAAUAGGUGAAGUGCAAGAUAUCUUACCUUAGUCACUCCUAAUGGGACAGCCAUCAUUCACUUGUCUCGACUGAGAAUUAGUGAAACCUUUCAUGUGUCAGAGCCACCUGUAGCCAGGAACAAGACCAAGAUCUUCCUCUUCCGGGUGUGGAAACAGCGAGGAAUCCCCCAACAGAUCUGAUUCCAGCCGUAGGACCCAACACCUCAGCUGACCCUUUCAGGUAACACACAGAAAGGGCCAGGCUGUGCUGCUGUUGGUUCCUGCUGCAAGCAAAGGUGAGGUUUGUGAGGUGUGCUGGGAUCCCCAGGAGCGAUGGGCUGUAUUUUCCAGGCAGCCUCAGCUGUUGGUCUAAGGUUAUUUCUUUGAUUUCCCAAGCCCAGUGGCAAAAGACCAUUUCUGUGUGCUAAGCAUCAAUUCUUUUCCUUUUCUUCUUAUCCUUUCUCCUCUCCACAGUUUUCCUCUUGCUUUGAAUUCUCUCAGACCGCUGCCAUCUCACUUCCCCUGGCACAGGAGAAAACGUGAUGGUGUUUACAGAGCAGAAGCACUGGGACUCAGGAGAUGUGAAAGGUGGUCCUGCUGGCUCUACCUCCAACACCUCUCCAUGGUUCUGACUUCCUGUCAGGAUAACCUGGACUAAAAUCCCUCUGUGCUUUUCCUUUUCCUACAGUGUCUAACACAACCUCAGAUUGGAUUCCAGUAAGCCCUGCAUUUUGGAUUUUAGGUUCCCUCCAUCUACCUCUGAAAACCCUAAAUAAACAAACAUUGGAUUAGACCUCAACAGAUCCCUUGCUCAGCAAGGGAAGCCUUUAAAAGCAUUUUACACCAACUGCCCUGUUUGUGUUUCAGACUCUGUCAACCUGGCACUCAAGGAGCUCCACCUUCCUCUCAGCCAUCUCAGGGAACUCAGCUCAGUGUUUGGAAGGUUUGCCUCCAUUUAUGACCCUCCCUGAUUCCAGUGAGGAGCUGGAAUUGCUGUUGACCUCAAGAAUGACAGAAGUAUAUGCUGGGGUUGGAGGGUUUCUGGCAUAUGACCUGCUAACCUAGAAUUUGCUUGGCAAAGUCCAGAGGAUGACUUUUAACCUCAGAGCAGUUUGCAAAACCACAUCUGUGACCAAUAAAUGUAAAAAAUUAAUGAAAAAAUAAAUCUAGCCCCUACUGAAGGAUGAAAGACAGCACACCUUGCUGGGCACUGGUGCUGGAAUCAGGAUGGAGAUUGGGACUAAUCGGACAGGCCAUGUGCCAGAUGUUGUCCAUGAACGGAGCCAAUGCCUCACACAAGGGAGUCAGCACAGCAGGUUAAACUGAAGGUAUCUCAUAGCUCUAAGUCUUAAACUUAACGAGCCACGUCUUUAUUUGUGCUGCAGCCCCUUCUUAGCCCAAAUUGCCUUUACCAGCUGCCAGAGGAUGCCUGGUAAUGGAAAAUUCUCUGGAUAACAAUAAAUUGGUGUAACGAUUGAGUGUCACCUCACAUCCUGCUAAGCAAUAGAGAAAUCACCAUGAGAAAAAUAGGCACGACCAGAGUGGCACUGAACAGUGCAAUCCUAAUUCCAUCACCCUUCUUGUGGGCGACUGAUAACCCAGAGCAAUUUACAGCUGCUCUGAAGCGGCUCCAAGUCUCAGCAGGAGUCGGGAAAGCUCAGUGUAGCCUCGGGACUGAGAAGUCGAAAGGAGCAGGGGAGUUGUUGUUCCAUAACCUUGCCUUUGCACCAAAACCAGGGGGCUGGUUUGGAAUGGGAAGCACUCCAAGCAAAACACAAAAUUUUAAUCACCGAAAUGAAGGUCCUCCUCUGGCUCCCUCUCUGGAGAAUAGUCUGUCUCUGAUGAUCGUGCACAGACUCCCAAAGAAGGUAAAUUUUGGAUUUUAAUCUCUACGUCAGCGUGUGAAUGACAGCGUUAAAUCUUGGCUGUAAGGCUGAGAUAUCUCCAAGAGGAGAAAAACACUUUUUCCACUUAAGUGGCUGAGGUAGAGGAGGUAAAUAUAUUGUCUCCCACUAUUAAAGGGUGAGGAAAUCAUUUAUACAUGUGUAUUACACCUUUUCACCUAACAGUGGAGUUCUUUUUUAAAUUCAAGAGUCUAAAAGUUUAGAAAUACCAACAUUAAGGUGGCCUAUGCAACUGUAAUUUGUCCCUUCCAUGCAUUUGCAUUAUGAUACAGUAUUUAAUUCUAAUUAGAUCACAUGCUGUUCUUUCAACAGGUUCCUGGCCUCACUCAUUGUACAGAAUGGACUCUGCUCACUAAGUAAUAAUUUUAUUUUCUCCUCGCUGUUCA
Long non-coding RNA from Vidua macroura (Pin-tailed whydah), 8608 nucleotides. RefSeq lists it as uncharacterized. The transcript has 5 exons. The record is from RefSeq and is a predicted model, not a curated record. NCBI's taxonomy places the organism in Eukaryota, Metazoa, Chordata, Aves, Passeriformes, Viduidae.